CCCAGAGCUCAGACGUGGGAGUCUGCGAGAGAAUGGCAGCUCCAAGAUGAAGGCAGGAAUGUGAGAUGCCAGCUCCUUCAGGAUUGAACAGCUUUAUAUAAACUAACAGAGAGGGCAAGUUUAUGAAGUGGAGACAGGAUCUAAUUCUGUACUCAGAAUCUGCCAUCUGCUGAUCCCAAGGUUUUAUAUGAGGUGCAAGGUGCCCAUACUGGAGGCCUGAGCUCAGCCUUUUGGGGUCAUGACAGCCAUGAACCAGAGCAAGCUCCAGUUUGAUGGAUGAGGCUGACUUCUGUUGGACUUUGCAGCACAGGCCACAGGUCACAGAAGAGCUUGAAGAAAUCACAACAGGCUCCUACAGGAGAAAGUCAGGCAGAGAGGGAAAGCAAGCCAGACCAAAGAGGACAACUCUGCUGAGAAGAAAGUAUUACAUACAACAACUUCAAGUUCAGAAUAGCCUCAUUAAUUUUUUCCACAUUCCAGACUCUCCAAGCAUGUCAACAAACUGUGGUCUGUCCACUGGCUCACCUACACAAGCCACACUAUCUGCGUGGGGAUGGAUGUGUUCUACCAUGAGGUAUGUGCAAGGACAUGCCUGGAGGCUGAAAGUGAGCUUGGGAAACCAGUGGCUUUCCUAGAUGGUUGUGACAUGUACUCUGCUCUCUCAGGCAGUAGCAAGCCCCAUGUAUCUGUGAUAGAUGAGUAAUGCAAUGAUUGGCUCUCACAAUUAAUAGAGAAAUAUAAGGUAUAUAGGUUAAGAAAAGUUUAUAGAUUGAUAGUUGUGUUGUAGCCCCUCGCGUGGUUAUCAAGGGACAGCUGGAGUUGGGACAUCUGGGAGGGCUGGCUUGUCACUACGGCUACACCUGACCUCCAGUCAGGAUUUGAGGAAGAGAUCUCCACCACUGGACAGCGAAGAAGAGGUUGAUGGACAGAACUUUGGGAGGGGUUAUGGGGUUAAAAAGGAUAAAACCUGCAUUGAGAAGAGGCUGAGCACAUGGUGGGGAAAAUCUUUUGCUCCAGCGUUGUAACCUUUUUUCUUUAUUCAGUCUUUUGUUGUAUUUUUGAUAAGGUUUAAUAAAUAUUCCUAAACUAUGAGAAGUGAGUACCUA
This 1106-nucleotide long non-coding RNA is filed under the name Zonotrichia albicollis (white-throated sparrow). RNAcentral's name for it is "lncRNA (ENSZALG00000008133.1)". The record is from RNAcentral. Lineage: Eukaryota; Metazoa; Chordata; Aves; Passeriformes; Passerellidae.